Molecule: long non-coding RNA, 553 nt
Filed under: Homo sapiens (human)
Lineage: Eukaryota; Metazoa; Chordata; Mammalia; Primates; Hominidae
Description: HSALNT0186778
Source: RNAcentral
CACUAAGCUCCCACACAACCCAAAGGGCUGGUUUCACUCCCACUGUGGCCCACCCCCUACAACAGCACCAAGUCUGUUUUCAGGCAGUGGGCGAACAGGGCUGAGAACUUGCCCCAGGCUACCCACUUACCAGCUGCAAAACCAAGUAGGACGUUUGUUCUUCCCAGGCCUGUGGAGUCUGCACACUGAAUUCAUAUCUUUCUCCAAGUCCUGGCCAGGAGACUUCUCAAUCAGUUCAAACUGUUACAAAGUUCAGCUAGAGGUUUCCUGCUCCCUGUGGCCUUUUUCCAGUGCCUCUGACUGCCCCCCGCCCCAAGGACCCUGUGAGGCAGGGCAGAAAUGGCUUGCCAGGGGACCCAGUGAGUCCACAGGGCUUUUCCCGCUGCUUCCUCUACCCUGUAUUUUGUUUGGCUCUCUAAAUUGAUUCAACUCCAGUGCUUCCUCCAAAGGUUUAGAUAAUCCUUACCAGCAGAAGGGAAGACACCAACAUCCAAAUGACAUAGAACACUGGGCCUUUUCCUUCUACUCAAGACAGUGAGAUGGGAAAACUGAA